This 465-nucleotide ribosomal RNA is filed under the name uncultured bacterium. RNAcentral's name for it is "partial 16S ribosomal RNA". It matches the Rfam family "Bacterial small subunit ribosomal RNA", at positions 28 to 507 of the family's 1533-position model. The record is from RNAcentral.
GACGAACGCUGGCGGCGUGCUUAACACAUGCAAGUCGAACGGAAAGGCCCUGCUUGCAGGGUACUCGAGUGGCGAACGGGUGAGUAACACGUGGGUGAUCUGCCCUGCACUUCGGGAUAAGCCUGGGAAACUGGGUCUAAUACCGGAUAGGAGCCAUUUUUAGUGUGAUGGUUGGAAAGUUUUUUCGGUGUAGGAUGAGCUCGCGGCCUAUCAGCUUGUUGGUGGGGUAAUGGCCUACCAAGGCGGCGACGGGUAGCCGGCCUGAGAGGGUGGACGGCCACAUUGGGACUGAGAUACGGCCCAGACGCCUACGGGAGGCAGCAGGGGGGAAUAUUGCACAAUGGGCGCAAGCCUGAUGCAGCGACGCCGCGUGGGGGAUGACGGCCUUCGGGUUGUAAAAUCCUUUCGCUAGGGACGAAGCUUUUUGUGACGGUACCUAGAUAAGAAGCACCGGCUAACUACGUG